GGGCUGGCUCUAGCUCAGCGGUUCCUUCGCCUGCACAGUGAAACUGCUCACUCACGGCGCCGGCCCUGCCGGUUCGAGCCCCGCGGGCGCUCCCAGCCCGUUU
This is an unclassified non-coding RNA of Otolemur garnettii (small-eared galago), 103 nucleotides long. Its record names the gene Vault. It matches the Rfam family "Vault RNA". Rfam says of the family: This family of RNAs are found as part of the enigmatic vault ribonucleoprotein complex. The record is from Ensembl. Lineage: Eukaryota; Metazoa; Chordata; Mammalia; Primates; Galagidae.